GCUAAGCCCUAAACAUUGAUAGUAAUUAUUACAUUACUUUCCGCCAGAGAACUACAAGUGAAAAACUUGAAACUCAAAGGACUUGACGGUGUCCCAUAUCGACCUAGAGGAGCCUGUCCUAUAAUCGAUACCCCCCGUUCCACCCAACCUCAACUAGCAAAAUAUCAGCCUAUAUACCGCCGUCGACAGUCUACCCCAUGAGGGCUCAACAGUAGACACAACAGCCUUAACGCUAAUACGUCAGGUCAAGGUGUAGCAAAUGUUGAGGAAAAGAUUGGCUACAUUUUUUAUGAUAAAAAACACGAAUUGCACUAUGAAACACUGCAUGAAGGUGAAUUUAGUAGUAAAACAGACAAGAGUGUCUGUUUUAACAACGCUCUGGGACGCGU
RNAcentral lists this ribosomal RNA (389 nucleotides) under Podarcis tiliguerta. RNAcentral describes it as "partial 12S ribosomal RNA". It matches the Rfam family "Bacterial small subunit ribosomal RNA", at positions 794 to 1384 of the family's 1533-position model. The record is from RNAcentral. Lineage: Eukaryota; Metazoa; Chordata; Lepidosauria; Squamata; Lacertidae.